AAGUCCGAAAGAAGCUCGGAGUAAAGUUGAUCGUGAUAGGAGGAAGUUCGAAAGAGAUUCGGAGAGUAGUCGAUCAUUGUAGAAAAUCAGCUGAUAGUGAAGCCAGAGAGCAUUUGGAGUAGUCCGAUAGACGACUGAAGGAGCUCAUUAUUGGAGGAGUCCGAAGGGUACGAUAGGAGUUCGUCCGUUGGAGGAUUCUGAAUGACACCGUAGAAGGUCGACUGCUGGAGGAGUCCGGACGGUACUGUAGAAGCUCGGACGGUCGGGGGAGUUCAGAAAGAUGCCGCAC
Molecule: long non-coding RNA, 289 nt
Filed under: Elaeis guineensis (African oil palm)
Lineage: Eukaryota; Viridiplantae; Streptophyta; Magnoliopsida; Arecales; Arecaceae
Description: long non-coding RNA (EGUI_LNC002655)
Source: RNAcentral